This 273-nucleotide ribosomal RNA is filed under the name uncultured Staphylococcus sp. Its description in RNAcentral is "partial 16S ribosomal RNA". It matches the Rfam family "Bacterial small subunit ribosomal RNA", at positions 89 to 355 of the family's 1533-position model. Lineage: Bacteria; Bacillati; Bacillota; Bacilli; Caryophanales; Staphylococcaceae. The record is from RNAcentral.
ACGUUAGCGGCGGACGGGUGAGUAACACGUGGGUAACCUACCUAUAAGACUGGGAUAACUUCGGGAAACCGGAGCUAAUACCGGAUAAUAUUUCGAGCCGCAUGGUUCGAUAGUGAAAGGUGGUUUUGCUAUCACUUAUAGAUGGACCCGCGCCGUAUUAGCUAGUUGGUAAGGUAACGGCUUACCAAGGCGACGAUACGUAGCCGACCUGAGAGGGUGAUCGGCCACACUGGAACUGAGACACGGUCCAGACUCCUACGGGAGGCAGCAGCC